GACGAACGCUGGCGGCGUGCUUAACACAUGCAAGUCGAACGGAAAGGCCCUGCUUUUGUGGGUUUCUCGAGUGGCGAACGGGUGAGUAACACGUGAGUAACCUGCCCUUGACUUUGGGAUAACUUCAGGAAACUGGGGCUAAUACCGGAUAUGAGCUCCUGCUGCAUGUUGGGGGUUGGAAAGUUUCGGCGGUUGGGGAUGGACUCGCGGCUUAUCAGCUUGUUGGUGGGGUAGUGGCUUACCAAGGCUUUGACGGGUAGCCGGCCUGAGAGGGUGACCGGCGACAUUGGGACUGAGAUACGGCCCAGACUCCUACGGGAGGCAGCAGUGGGGAAUAUUGCACAAUGGGCGGAAGCCUGAUGCAGCAACGCCGCGUGCGGGAUGACGGCCUUCGGGUUGUAAACCGCUUUCGCCUGUGACGAAGCGUGAGUGACGGUAAUGGGUAAAGAAGCACCGGCUAACUACGUG
RNAcentral lists this ribosomal RNA (468 nucleotides) under uncultured bacterium. Its description in RNAcentral is "partial 16S ribosomal RNA". It matches the Rfam family "Bacterial small subunit ribosomal RNA", at positions 28 to 507 of the family's 1533-position model. The record is from RNAcentral.